RNAcentral lists this ribosomal RNA (1170 nucleotides) under Triticum aestivum (bread wheat). RNAcentral describes it as "partial small subunit ribosomal RNA". Lineage: Eukaryota; Viridiplantae; Streptophyta; Magnoliopsida; Poales; Poaceae. The record is from RNAcentral.
AUGAGCCGCCGGCGCCGUUCCUCGCGGGCGCCUGUGCCCCGGCUGGACGUCGAAGACCUUCUCCAGGACAUCUUUCUCCGCCUCCCUCCACAUCCAUCUUUGCUCCCUCGCCUCUCCCUGGUCUGCAAACACUGGCGUAGCAUCCUCUCCGACCCCGAGUUCCUCGACCGCUUCCGUAGACACCACCAGAACCCCCCGCUGCUCGGCUUUUUCGCCGGGGGAAACUACAGCAGGAACCACGUCUUCACCCCCGUCCUCGACCCGCCCGACCGCAUCCCCGCCGCGCGCUUCCCGCUGCCAUGGCGCAACAGCCCCUGCGAGGAGUGGAACUUCGUCGACUGCCGCCACGGCCUCGCCGUCCUGAUCAACGAGUCACGGCGCGAGAUCGUCGUGUGGGAUCCCCUCACCGACCAACAACGUGCUCUGGCUUUUGCACAAGAACUUGACGACGACAACGGGAAGAGGUACCGGCACGCCGCGGUGCUCUGCGCUGACCCCGAAGAUGGGCAUGUGCACGGCGAUUGCCUCUCGAGCCCAUUCAAAGUGGCCCUGAUCUCCGUGGGACGCAUGCAUGCAUCCGCUUGCCUCUACAAAUCGGAGUCUCACCGAUGGGGAGACAUUGUCUCGACGACCACUAGAGAUAACAUUUGUUUGGUAAGACCCAGCAUCCUGGCAGGGAACACACUCUGUUGGUUGGUUGGGUGCGUCAUCCUUGAGUUUGAUUUUGAAAGGGAGGCCGUUCGUGCGAUCGAGGCGCCCGCGGAAGUUUGGAUCAGCUAUACCGACUAUUGGUCUCUUCAACUCUUGCGGACCGAGGAUGGUAGCCUUAGACUCGCCGUUUUGUCGAAGCAGAAGCUGAGCAUUCAAUUAUGGGAGAGGAAAUUGAGCUAUGACGGUGUUGCUAGUUGGGAGCUACUGCAGAAAACCAUUCCGCUGGAGUUGCUCUUCCCAUGGAGAAUGUGUAGUGGUCACGAGAGGGUGCUGAUGGUGGGGUGUAAUGAGGACACAAGCGUGAUUGUUCUGUCUACGGUGAUCGGUGACUUCUUGCUCCAGAUUGAGCCGACGCAAAUCAGGAAAAUUUCUAAAAGAAACUACAUGUGUAGGAAGAUUUUCUAUCCUUACACAAAUUUUUAUACUGCCUUGUUGCCUAUAUUGCACAAGCAACAGUAA